This 539-nucleotide ribosomal RNA is filed under the name uncultured bacterium. RNAcentral's name for it is "bacterial SSU rRNA". It matches the Rfam family "Bacterial small subunit ribosomal RNA", at positions 102 to 674 of the family's 1533-position model. The record is from RNAcentral.
ACGGGUGAGUAACACGUAGGAAUCUAUCCCAGGGUGGGGGACAACAGCGGGAAACUGCUGCUAAUACCGCAUGAUACCUGAGGGUCAAAGGCGUAAGUCGCCUUGGGAGGAGCCUGCGUCUGAUUAGCUUGUUGGUGAGGUAAAGGCUCACCAAGGCUACGAUCAGUAGCUGGUCUGAGAGGAUGAUCAGCCACAUUGGGACUGAGACACGGCCCAAACUCCUACGGGAGGCAGCAGUGGGGAAUAUUGGACAAUGGGCGAAAGCCUGAUCCAGCAAUGCCGCGUGUGUGAAGAAGGUCUUCGGAUUGUAAAGCACUUUUGGCAGGGACGAUGAUGACGGUACCUGCAGAAUAAGCCCCGGCUAACUUCGUGCCAGCAGCCGCGGUAAUACGAAGGGGGCUAGCGUUGCUCGGAAUGACUGGGCGUAAAGGGCGCGUAGGCGGCAUGUACAGUCAGAAGUGAAAUUCCUGGGCUCAACCUGGGGACUGCUUUUGAUACGUGCAGGCUAGAGUGAGGAAGAGGGUUGUGGAAUUUCCAGU